Molecule: ribosomal RNA, 492 nt
Filed under: uncultured bacterium
Lineage: Bacteria
Description: partial 16S ribosomal RNA
Rfam family: Bacterial small subunit ribosomal RNA
Source: RNAcentral
AGUGAACGCUGGCGGUAGGCCUAACACAUGCAAGUCGAACGGCAGCACAGUAAGAGCUUGCUCUUACGGGUGGCGAGUGGCGGACGGGUGAGGAAUACAUCGGAAUCUACUUUUUCGUGGGGGAUGACGUAGGGAAACUUACGCUAAUACCGCAUACGACCUACGGGUGAAAGCAGGGGAUCUUCGGACCUUGCGCGAUUGAAUGAGCCGAUGUCGGAUUAGCUAGUUGGCGGGGUAAAGGCCCACCAAGGCGACGAUCCGUAGCUGGUCUGAGAGGAUGAUCAGCCACACUGGAACUGAGACACGGUCCAGACUCCUACGGGAGGCAGCAGUGGGGAAUAUUGGACAAUGGGCGCAAGCCUGAUCCAGCCAUACCGCGUGGGUGAAGAAGGCCUUCGGGUUGUAAAGCCCUUUUGUUGGGAAAGAAAAGCAGCAGGUUAAUACCCCGCUGUUCUGACGGUACCCAAAGAAUAAGCACCAGCUAACUUCGUG